GACCCCAUUUGAAGUUUUGUUGGCAAAAAUACUGGAGGGGUUUGCCAUUUCCUUCUCCAGUUUAUUUGUCAGAUGAGGAAAUUGAAGCCAACAAGGUCAAGUGAUUCACCCAGGUCACACAGCUAAUAUGUAUCUGAGACUGGAUUUGAACUCCGGUCUUCCUGACUCCAGGCCCAGUGCUCUGUCCACUGUACGACCAUGCUGCCCAGUACCAAUUUCGGAGACAAGGACAUCUAAAGGAAAAUGAGGACAUCUCUUCCUUUUAUAUGCAUUUAUACCAUUCUUCAAGCGUCUGUGAUUUUAACAGCAUCCUCGAAGCCCCCAACAAUGCAGGAUCACUGCUGGCAUCUGCCUAGAAAUUUGCUGAAAUAAGUUCCCAAGUCUCACUGCCAAGGCUUUGUACUGUCCUCAUGGGCAAGACUGGUGCCCUCAGCCAGCUGCCAAGAAUUUGGAUAUUUCCCCAGCCUUUGCUCUGAAGCUGGUAUGGUAGGUGAUGUGUGUAUGGAUGAUCAGCUCACACUAUGAAUCACAGAAUUGGAAAGGACUCCCUGAUUGAGGCCAUCUGGUCAAGUCCAUACCUGAACAUGAUCAAAUGUGGAAAAGAGAAAGGGGAAGGGGAGGGAAGAGAAAGACAAGGAAAAGGAAGAGGGGCAGAAGAAUGCCUGGUGGUGCUAAAAAGGAAGGGAAGAGCCUCCAACUGCCCUAGUCAGCCCAUUUUACCUUGGAAUAAAUCAAAUUGUCAAGUUAAAAAAAAAAAAAGAAAGGAAACAUCAGGGAAAAAAGAAGCUGCUGUGUAGGAACUCCUUUGAGAAGGCAAUAAAGGAGUUAAAUAGCUAAUUCUAGCUUGAAUA
Molecule: long non-coding RNA, 851 nt
Filed under: Monodelphis domestica (gray short-tailed opossum)
Lineage: Eukaryota; Metazoa; Chordata; Mammalia; Didelphimorphia; Didelphidae
Description: lncRNA (ENSMODG00000034702.2)
Source: RNAcentral